AUGACUGGUUUGGUGACACCCUUAGUAAUGCGACCUUUCAGCUUCCUUCGUACAAACCAUCGUCUCUCUUCAUCUCAACUCAACCUUCGCCGGAAAUCGCUCGAACGCGCCAGAGGCGGCAGAGCGUCGACAAUCACCAAAAUUCCUACGUCUCCCUCUUCGUCCUCUUCCCCCGAGUUUAAUUCCAAACCUGGUUUUCACCGAUUUCACUUCAUACACCUCUGUUUAUGCGAUUUGAUUUCCUAUCGCUUAUGUGCGUGUUGUUGUGUAAUUGUAGUUGUGUGCUGA
Non-coding RNA from Vicia faba (fava bean), 288 nucleotides. Lineage: Eukaryota; Viridiplantae; Streptophyta; Magnoliopsida; Fabales; Fabaceae. The record is from the annotation of a GenBank genome assembly.